CAACAGGCUUUAAUGGAAGCCACCGAAGACAGGAAAGUAGUUUUACU
Molecule: non-coding RNA, 47 nt
Organism: Meleagris gallopavo (turkey)
Lineage: Eukaryota; Metazoa; Chordata; Aves; Galliformes; Phasianidae
Source: Rfam